Molecule: ribosomal RNA, 199 nt
Filed under: uncultured Glomus
Lineage: Eukaryota; Fungi; Glomeromycota; Glomeromycetes; Glomerales; Glomeraceae
Description: partial 18S ribosomal RNA
Rfam family: Eukaryotic small subunit ribosomal RNA
Source: RNAcentral
AGCAGCCGCGGUAAUUCCAGCUCCAAUAGCGUAUAUUAAAGUUGCUGCAGUUAAAAAGCUCGUAGUUGGAUCUUGGGAGCGGGCGGGCGGUCCGCCGCGAGGCGAGCCACCGCCCGUCCCCGCCCCUUGCCUCUCGGCGCCCCCUCGAUGCUCUUAGCUGAGUGUCCCGCGGGGCCCGAAGCGUUUACUUUGAAAAAAU